CUCAGAAUCCUAACUCAGGCUACC
Molecule: non-coding RNA, 24 nt
Filed under: Mus musculus (house mouse)
Lineage: Eukaryota; Metazoa; Chordata; Mammalia; Rodentia; Muridae
Also listed under: 1 other name
Source: RNAcentral